RNAcentral lists this ribosomal RNA (253 nucleotides) under uncultured bacterium. RNAcentral's name for it is "partial 16S ribosomal RNA". It matches the Rfam family "Bacterial small subunit ribosomal RNA", at positions 524 to 776 of the family's 1533-position model. The record is from RNAcentral.
UACAGAGGUCCCAAGCGUUGUUCGGAUUCACUGGGCGUAAAGGGUGCGUAGGCGGUCGGGUAAGUCUGAUGUGAAAUCUCACAGCUUAACUGUGAAACUGCAUUGGAUACUAUCCGGCUUGAGGAAUGGAGGGGAGACUGGAAUACUUGGUGUAGCAGUGAAAUGCGUAGAUAUCAAGAGGAACACCAGUGGCGAAGGCGGGUCACUGGUCCGGUACUGACGCUGAGGUGCGAAAGCGUGGGGAGCAAACAGG